RNAcentral lists this transfer RNA (77 nucleotides) under Desulfovibrio sp. Its description in RNAcentral is "tRNA-Met". It matches the Rfam family "tRNA". From Rfam's summary of the family: Transfer RNA (tRNA) molecules are approximately 80 nucleotides in length. Their secondary structure includes four short double-helical elements and three loops (D, anti-codon, and T loops). Lineage: Bacteria; Pseudomonadati; Thermodesulfobacteriota; Desulfovibrionia; Desulfovibrionales; Desulfovibrionaceae. The record is from RNAcentral. RNAcentral also lists the same sequence under 4 other names.
GGCGAGGUAGCUCAGUCGGUCAGAGCAUGCGGCUCAUAUCCGCAGAGUCGGGGGUUCAAGUCCCUCCCUCGCUACCA